UAGGCAUGUACUUACUAAUUGGUGGAAAAUGUCUCUUCCUGCCUCAGCUGAGCUCUUUGUAUUUCUUACAGGUUGUAGAAAGGUGUUCACAGAAGUUGGAGGCUACGACCAGAAGUGCCACAAGCUCUGAGGUUCACAGUGCUCCAAGAGAAGUUGGUAUGGCUGUCCCCUGGUCAUCUCCAGAAUAUCACUUGCCAGCUUUUUCCGUACCCAUUCCACAGCUGAAUCUCUUGGGCAGAGCAAGAACAUGUACCUGUGCCCCUUAUAACAUGGCCUUGGGCAGUAGAAAGGUUUAUACAUCCCAUAUGGAACUUUAUGACUUCAGGUAAGAAAGAAGUAAUUAAAGCAUAUGAAUUUUAAGAGAACUGUUUAUAUGCAAAUAUAUUAGUGG
Molecule: long non-coding RNA, 391 nt
Filed under: Coturnix japonica (Japanese quail)
Lineage: Eukaryota; Metazoa; Chordata; Aves; Galliformes; Phasianidae
Description: lncRNA (ENSCJPG00005000068.1)
Source: RNAcentral